This is a non-coding RNA of Benincasa hispida (wax gourd), 1387 nucleotides long. NCBI's taxonomy places the organism in Eukaryota, Viridiplantae, Streptophyta, Magnoliopsida, Cucurbitales, Cucurbitaceae. The record is from RefSeq and is a predicted model, not a curated record.
CCCCCUUUUAUCAUUUGCCGCCAAAUCCUUUGCUCUCAUUCGCUUCCUCAGAAUCUCCAUUUCCCUCUCUCGGCUUCUCCGUCUUCUUCGCAAUGUUAGCCAUGAAAGAUUCCGAGCUUCUGGACUUCACCGCUGACAAGGGCCAAACUUCAAGAAUUAGCUGAGUAUGUUCCAAAAGGUCAUAUUCCCCGGACAAUGACUGUUCAUCUCAGGGAUGAAUUAACAAGGAAAGUUAGUUUUCUUCUAGUGAUUUCUCACUGGUAGUUCUGAGGGUGACUAAGAUUUCUGUUUAGUGAGGCUUAUUGAUCUAAAGGAGGGUCUUCUUUAGUUUAAUUACAAAUAAACAAUCAGAAUCCUCAUGCGUGCUCUUAUGUAUGCUUGAAACUACAUUAAAAAUACAUCUUUUGCUUUCUUAUCCAUUUCUGUUAAAUCAAUCAGUAAGCUAUACAUUUAUAUUUCGAGAAUUCCUUCAGGUCUGUUUAUUAUGUAAGACUGCCGUUAUCAUCCAAAUUUCUACAAGAGAUCUUUCUAACAUAGAGCUAUUGAUUCCAUUUACCUUUUUAAUUAUGGAAGUCUCAGAUUCUAGUAGACCUGCGUAUUAAAUGCAAGUGUUAGGACCUAAUUCUUAGAGGAUCUCAAUAUCUUCAACUCUCACUUUUAAAUUUGUACUUGGGUCAGAGCUUACAUUUCAGCCGCAAAAAGAUUGUCUCCUUACGUUCCCAAGGAUCUGGAGGAGUACAUUGCCAGUGCCUAUUCCAGCAUCCGACAGGAAGAAGCUAAAUCUAACACUCCCCAGUCAUACACCACAGUGAGAACUCUACUGAGCAUUCUUCGGAUAUCAGCUGCUCUAGCAAGACUUAGAUUCUCUGAGACCGUGGCUCAGAGUGAUGUCGAUGAAGCUCUAAGGUUAAUGCAAAUGUCAAAAUUUUCCCUAUACUCAGACGACCGUCAAAAAUGGGUCUUGAUGCUAUCUCAGAUAUUUGUUCAAUCUUGCGUGAUGAAGCUGCCAGAACUAAUAAAAUGAAUGUGAGCUAUGCACACGCCCUUAACUGGAUUUCUCGGAAGGGAUACAGCGAAGCUCAAUUAAAAGAAUGUUUGGAGGAGUAUGCAGCCUUGAAUGUGUGGCAAAUACAUCCACACACCUUUGACAUUCGGUUUAUAGAUGCUUGAUGUGCUGUUAUUUGCAUUCUCGAGUUACUGACUGAGAGCUAAUUUAAACUGUCUUAGGAUGGGGCUUGAUACAUAAUCAUUUGGAAUACAGAGUAAAAUGCUCAAAAAUCUUGGAGGGCUUUAUGUUGUAUCUGUACUUAUAGUGUAGCUGUGGAUUCGCAGAUAACUGGAUUCUAAUUUUUAUAUCUUUUAAGGGAUUAUUUAUCCACAACCACUU